UCUUCAUCUUCUCUGAAUUUCUUGGCAUAUUCCACAAUAGCUUUGGCUAAAGGGUGCUCACUGUUUACCUCAGCUGCAGCAACAAAUUCGUAAAAAUCCCGAAGCACCAUAUUUUUGAACAGUUUUGUGUUAACAACCACUGGCUUCCCAACUGUAAGAGUUCCUGUCUUGUCAAACACAAUGCAAUUCACCUUGUGUGCACUUUCUAAUGCUUGGCCACCUUUGAU
Molecule: unclassified non-coding RNA, 227 nt
Filed under: Hevea brasiliensis (rubber tree)
Lineage: Eukaryota; Viridiplantae; Streptophyta; Magnoliopsida; Malpighiales; Euphorbiaceae
Source: RNAcentral